Long non-coding RNA from Gallus gallus (chicken), 510 nucleotides. The record is from Ensembl. Lineage: Eukaryota; Metazoa; Chordata; Aves; Galliformes; Phasianidae.
AAAUCCAUUUUCCAAUCAUCUGUGAGUAAAACACUUUGCUGCCUAAUUCUAGGCAAGGCUCCUGGAGCAGAAGAAUCCUUUGUCUGCCAGAAUAUGGGUUUAAGGUGCUUUAGGAUUAAUUUUUUUGGCCAUUAACUGUAGUGAUAUGCAAAAGAUGUAAGCAUUUGUAAUUAAAAUCUUCAAAUUUAAACAAUUCCAGAGUCUGGAAUGUUUAAUUAUUUUUCAGUUGUUGAAAAUAUUCACAGUAUCUGAAACACUGGAAAUCUCUUAGGUGUUUGUCUGCCUUGCAUUUACUGCUAUUUUUCUUUUCUUUCCUUUUCUUUCCUUUUCUUUUUCCUGCAGAUUUACAGUUCUUUCAAAGUUUGACCCAAGAUUUGAGAGCUACAGGAAGGCAAGGCCAAGGAAAACAGCCCAAAUCUGUAUUUUUCAGAUCUUUGCAAGAUCCGGAAACGACUGGGACAGAACUCGUGCUGUGAUGUGAGGGAGCUCAAGCUUAAUGAUGAAACCUGG